UACAAGUAUUCUGGAUGUGAGGUUGGAC
RNAcentral lists this non-coding RNA (28 nucleotides) under Mus musculus (house mouse). Lineage: Eukaryota; Metazoa; Chordata; Mammalia; Rodentia; Muridae. The record is from RNAcentral.